Molecule: ribosomal RNA, 231 nt
Filed under: uncultured bacterium
Lineage: Bacteria
Description: partial 16S ribosomal RNA
Rfam family: Bacterial small subunit ribosomal RNA
Source: RNAcentral
GACGAACGCUGGCGGCGUGCCUAAUACAUGCAAGUUGAGCGCUGAAGGUUGGUACUUGUACCGACUGGAUGAGCAGCGAACGGGUGAGUAACGCGUGGGGAAUCUGCCUUUGAGCGGGGGACAACAUUUGGAAACGAAUGCUAAUACCGCAUAAAAACUUUAAACAACAAGUUUUAAGUUUUGUAAAGAAUGCAAUUGCAUCACUCAAAGAUGAUCCCGCCGUUGUAUUAG